AUCAGAUCAUUCGAAUGUUGCCUUCAUCUCAGAGAUUGGGCGUGCUGCAUAAUCUUUUAAAGGACAGGGCAUGCCCCAUUUUGACAGGAUAUCUUCUAGAUCUGGUGAAGGAUCAGAUUGAGAGAGAGAUUGAUGAAGGUGUUAUGUUCAACAGAUAGCAAGAUUCAGAGGCAUUGCCACCUUGUUUUGAGGACUUCAUAUCUUUUCUGCAUACAAAUUUGGGACCCCUUGCUGAUGAUAUAGAUUCCUUGGAAAAGAUGUUGGACCGUCUGAGUUUGCUUAAAUUUCUCCUGAUUAGAGGAUCAAAAAUGUUGCCAAAGCCAACAUUGAGAAGAUGUCUUCUUGGUUUGCUAUACCCACUGGGGUACUACCUUGCCGCAAGGAGCAAUGAUGUAUACCAGGUGGCUUUUGCUCGCACGGAAGUGGACGGGUGUGUAAAACUAGCAGAUAAGUUGUGCGAAACGGACGGACCCAACGGCGAAAUAGUCUGAUGACGAGCUAGUAUCGAUGUCACAGUAGACCACACUAAUUUUUCUGUAUAGAGCCAUUAGUAUUCUUUAGCAUGUCCAUACUAUUACAUCAUAUGGAGUACAAAGGAGUAGGCAAACAAAACUGGUGGUGGCGUUGCUGGUGCAUUGAACUGUGGGACAAACUAUUAUGUCAGUAGCUUUCCUUUAGCUAUGGUCAUACAUCAUAUUUCGUACAAGUAGGCAAACAAACUGGUGGGGUUGCGGCUGGUGCAUCGAACUGGGGGACAAACCAGCACGCACAGCCAAACUGUUCUUUAGCUAUGUUUGUUAACCUGUAUUAGCGUUAAUGUGUGCCUACAUUUUUACC
Molecule: long non-coding RNA, 837 nt
Organism: Brachypodium distachyon (stiff brome)
Lineage: Eukaryota; Viridiplantae; Streptophyta; Magnoliopsida; Poales; Poaceae
Exons: 4
Source: RefSeq, a predicted model, not a curated record